RNAcentral lists this ribosomal RNA (505 nucleotides) under uncultured bacterium. Its description in RNAcentral is "bacterial SSU rRNA". It matches the Rfam family "Bacterial small subunit ribosomal RNA", at positions 8 to 518 of the family's 1533-position model. The record is from RNAcentral.
AGAGUUUGAUAUGGCUCAGGAUGAACGCUGGCGGCGUGCCUAACACAUGCAAGUCGAGCGGAGAUAUGAGAUGAUCUUCGAGUGAAUUUCCUUAUCUUAGCGGCGGAUGGGUGAGUAACACGUGGGUAACCUGCCCUGCACAGGGGGAUAACAGCUGGAAACGGCUGUUAAUACCGCAUAUGCACACGCUGCCGCAUGGCAGAGGGUGGAAAGAUUUAUCGGUGCAGGAUGGGCCCGCGUCGGAUUAACUGGUUGGCAGGGUAACGGCCUACCAAGGUGAUGAUCCGUAGCCGACCUGAGAGGGUGACCGGCCACAUUGGGACUGAGACACGGCCCAAACUCCUACGGGAGGCAGCAGUGGGGGAUAUUGCACAAUGGGCGAAAGCCCUGAUGCAGCGACGCCGCGUGAAGGAAGAAGUAUUUCGGUAUGUAAACUUCUAUCAGCGGGGAAGAAGAUGACGGUACCCGACUAAGAAGCCCCGGCUAACUACGUGCCAGCCGCCGC